RNAcentral lists this ribosomal RNA (507 nucleotides) under uncultured Actinomycetes bacterium. RNAcentral's name for it is "bacterial SSU rRNA". It matches the Rfam family "Bacterial small subunit ribosomal RNA", at positions 940 to 1448 of the family's 1533-position model. The record is from RNAcentral. Lineage: Bacteria; Bacillati; Actinomycetota; Actinomycetes.
UGCGGAUUAAUUCGAUGCAACGCGAAGAACCUUACCAAGGCUUGACAUAUAGAGGAAAAGCGUAGAAAUACGCUCCCCGCAAGGUCUCUAUACAGGUGGUGCAUGGUCGUCGUCAGCUCGUGUCGUGAGAUGUUGGGUUAAGUCCCGCAACGAGCGCAACCCUCGUCCUAUGUUGCCAGCACGUAAUGGUGGGAACUCAUGGGAGACUGCCGGGGUCAACUCGGAGGAAGGUGGGGAUGACGUCAAAUCAUCAUGCCCCUUAUGUCUUGGGCUUCACGCAUGCUACAAUGGCCAGUACAAAGGGCUGCGAUACCGUAAGGUGGAGCGAAUCCCAUAAAGCUGGUCUCAGUUCGGAUUGAGGUCUGCAACUCGACCUCAUGAAGUCGGAGUCGCUAGUAAUCGUAGAUCAGCAACGCUACGGUGAAUACGUUCCCGGGCCUUGUACACACCGCCCGUCAAGUCACGAAAGUCGGUAACACCCGAAGCCGGUGGCCUAACCGUAAGGAA